GACGAACGCUGGCGGCGUGCCUAAUACAUGCAAGUAGAACGCUGAAGGAGGAGCUUGCUCUUCUGGAUGAGUUGCGAACGGGUGAGUAACGCGUAGGUAACCUGCCUUGUAGCGGGGGAUAACUAUUGGAAACGAUAGCUAAUACCGCAUAACAGUAGAUGUUGCAUGACAUUUGCUUAAAAGUUGCAAUUGCAUCACUACCAGAUGGACCUGCGUUGUAUUAGCUAGUUGGUGGGGUAACGGCUCACCAAGGCGACGAUACAUAGCCGACCUGAGAGGGUGAUCGGCCACACUGGGACUGAGACACGGCCCAGACUCCUCCGGGAGGCAGCAGUAGGGAAUCUUCGGAAAUGGACGGAAGUCUGAACGAGCAACGCCGCGUGAGUGAAGAAGGUUUUCGGAUCGUAAAGCUCUGUUGUAAGAGAAGAACGAGUGUGAGAGUGGAAAGUUCACACUGUGACGGUAUCUUACCAGAAAGGGACGGCUAACUACGUG
Molecule: ribosomal RNA, 495 nt
Filed under: uncultured bacterium
Lineage: Bacteria
Description: partial 16S ribosomal RNA
Rfam family: Bacterial small subunit ribosomal RNA
Source: RNAcentral